This 1493-nucleotide ribosomal RNA is filed under the name uncultured prokaryote. RNAcentral describes it as "partial 16S ribosomal RNA". It matches the Rfam family "Bacterial small subunit ribosomal RNA". The record is from RNAcentral.
AACGAACGCUGGCGGCGUGGAUAAGACAUGCAAGUCGAACGGUGAUUAAAGGGUAGCAAUAUUUUUUAAUUAUAGUGGCGAAAGGGUGCGUAACACGUGGGCAAUCUGCCGCGAAGACUGGGAUAACUUGCUGAAAGGCGAGCUAAUACCGGAUGUGACUGUUGGGAGGCAUUUUCUGACAAUCAAAGUUGGGGACCGUAAGGCCUGACACUUCAUUAUAAGCCCGCGGCCUAUCAGCUUGUUGGUGAGGUAAAAGCUCACCAAGGCUAAGACGGGUAGCUGGUCUGAGAGGACGACCAGUCACACUGGAACUGAGACACGGUCCAGACACCUACGGGUGGCAGCAGUCGAGAAUUUUUCACAAUGGGCGAAAGCCUGAUGCAGCCAUGCCGCGUGGGGGAUGAAGUGCUUCGGUCUGUAAACCCCUGUCAUCUGCGAGCAAACCUUUUCGGUUAACACCUGGAAAGCUGAUAGUAGCAGAAGAGGAAUGGACGGCUAACUCUGUGCCAGCAGCCGCGGUAAUACAGAGGUCCCAAGCGUUGUUCGGAUUCACUGGGCGUAAAGGGUGCGUAGGCGGCAUGGCAAGUUUGGUGUGAAAGCUCCGAGCUCAACUCGGAAAUUGCACUGAAAACUGCCAAGCUCGAGGAUCGGAGGGGAGAGUGGAAUUCUUGGUGUAGCAGUGAAAUGCGUAGAUAUCAAGAGGAACACCGGUGGCGAAGGCGACUCUCUGGACGAUUCCUGACGCUGAGGCACGACGGCUAGGGGAGCAAACAGGAUUAGAUACCCUGGUAGUCCUGGCAGUAAACGGUGUGCACUUGCUGUAGGAGGAUUCGACCCCUUCUGUGGCGGAGCUAACGUGUUAAGUGCACCGCCUGGGGAGUACGGUCGCAAGAUUAAAACUCAAAGAAAUUGACGGGGGCCUGCACAAGCGGUGGAGUAUGUGGCUUAAUUCGAUGCAACGCGAAGAACCUUACCUGGGUUUGACAUGUAUCUAGUACGACCGUGAAAGCGUAACGAACCCGCACGGACAAUUCACACAGGUGCUGCAUGGCUGUCGUCAGCUCGUGUCGUGAGAUGUUGGGUUAAGUCCCGCAACGAGCGCAACCCUCAUGUCCUGUUGCCACCCGAACGAGAGUUCGGAGCACUCUGGACAGACUGCCUUGCUUAAACGAGGAGGAAGGUGAGGAUGACGUCAAGUCAGGAUGGCCCUUACGGCCAGGGCUGCACACGUACUACAAUGCCCGGUACAAUGGGAAGCAAUAUCGUAAGGUGGAGCAAAUCCGUGAAAACCGGGCCCAGUUCAGAUUGUCGGCUGCAACUCGCCGACAUGAAGCUGGAAUCGCUAGUAAUGGCGCAUCAGCUACGGCGCCGUGAAUACGUUCCCAGGCCUUGUACACACCGCCCGUCACAUCAUGAAAGCCGGUCGUACCCGAAGUCAUCACGUUAACCCGCAAGGGAGAUAGGUGCCGAAGGUAUGGCUGGUGAUUGGGAUG